GAUGAAGAACGUAGCGAAAUACGAUAAGUAAUGUGAAUUGCAGAAUUCAGUGAAUCAUCGAAUCUUUGAACGCACAUUGCGCCCGGCAGUACUCUGCCGGGCAUGCCUGUUCGAGCGUCAUUUCAACCCUCAAGCCCUGCUUGGUGUUGGGGUCCCACGGCCGCCGUGGGCCCUGAAAGGAAGUGGCGGGCUCGCUACAACUCCGAGCGUAGUAAUUCAUUAUCUCGCUUAGGGCGUUGGGCGGCGCUCCUGCCGUUAAAGAACCAUCUUUAACUCAAGGUUGACCUCGGAUCAGGUAGGAAUACCCGCUGAACUUAAGCAUAUCAAUAAGCGGAGGA
RNAcentral lists this unclassified non-coding RNA (338 nucleotides) under soil metagenome. RNAcentral's name for it is "partial contains 5.8S ribosomal RNA, internal transcribed spacer 2, and large subunit ribosomal RNA". The stretch from base 1 to 120 matches the Rfam family "5.8S ribosomal RNA", at positions 35 to 154 of the family's 154-position model. The record is from RNAcentral.